This 503-nucleotide ribosomal RNA is filed under the name uncultured bacterium. Its description in RNAcentral is "partial 16S ribosomal RNA". It matches the Rfam family "Bacterial small subunit ribosomal RNA", at positions 30 to 523 of the family's 1533-position model. The record is from RNAcentral.
AUUGAACGCUGGCGGCAGGCUUAACACAUGCAAGUCGAGCGGGGUGAUGGUGCUUGCACUAUCACUUAGCGGCGGACGGGUGAGUAAUGCUUAGGAAUCUGCCUAUUAGUGGGGGACAACAUCUCGAAAGGGAUGCUACUACCGCAUACGUCCUACGGGAGAAAGCAGGGGAUCACUUGUGAACUUGCGAUAAUAGUUGAGCCUAAGUCGGAUUAGCUAGUUGGUGGGGUAAAGGCCUACCAAGGCGACGAUCUGUAGCGGGUCUGAGAGGAUGAUCCGCCACACUGGGACUGAGACACGGCCCAGACUCCUACGGGAGGCAGCAGUGGGGAAUAUUGGACAAUGGGGGGAACCCUGAUCCAGCCAUGCCGCGUGUGUGAAGAAGGCCUUAUGGUUGUAAAGCACUUUAAGCGAGGAGGAGGCUCUUUUGGUUAAUACCCAAGAUGAGUGGACGUUACUCGCAGAAUAAGCACCGGCUAACUCUGUGCCAGCCGCCGCCGUAA